Molecule: ribosomal RNA, 2132 nt
Filed under: freshwater metagenome
Description: bacterial LSU rRNA
Rfam family: Bacterial large subunit ribosomal RNA
Source: RNAcentral
AAGGCGCAUGGUGGAUGCCUUGGCUCUCAAUGGCGAUGAAGGACGUGAUAAGCUGCGAUAAGCUUCGGGGAGGUGCACAUAACCUUUGAUCCGAAGAUUUCCGAAUGAGACAACUCAUCCAGGGUCUGCCUGGAUAUCCGAUAGGAGGCUAACCCGGAGAACUGAAACAUCUAAGUACCCGGAGGAAAAGAAAACAAUAGUGAUUCCCCAAGUAGUGGCGAGCGAACGGGGAGAAGCCCAAACCGUUGUUGUUAAGGCAACAGCGGGGUUGUAGGACUGCAACGUGUAUGUUUAUUCGAAGUUGAAGCUUUUGGAAAAAAGCCCCAUAGACGGUGAUAGGCCGGUAAACGUAACAAUAAUCAUGCUAGCAGUAUCCUGAGUACCGCGAGGUCGGAGACGCCUUGUGGGAAUCAGCCGGCACCAUCCGGUAAGGCUAAAUACUCCUGAGAGACCGAUAGCGAACCAGUACUGUGAAGGAAAGGUGAAAAGAACCUCGAACAGAGGAGUGAAAUAGAACCUGAAACCGUGUGCUUACAAGCGGUCGGAGUCCCUUCGUGGGAUGACGGCGUGCCUUUUGCAUAAUGAGCCUACGAGUUACUCCUCACUGGCAAGGUUAAGGACCCAAGGUCCGGAGCCGAAGCGAAAGCAAGUCUGAAUAGGGCGCAUAGUCAGUGGGGGUAGACGCGAAACCUUGUGAUCUACACAUGGGCAGGAUGAAGGAUGGGUAACACCAUCUGGAGGUCCGAACUGGUGAGCGUUGAAAAGCUCUCGGAUGACCUGUGUGUAGGGGUGAAAGGCUAAUCAAACUGGGAAAUAGCUCGUACUCCCCGAAAUGUCUUUAGGGACAGCGUCGAUUGAAUUGUCAUAGAGGUAGAGCUACCGAUAGGGCUAGGGGGCUUCACCGCCUACCAAACCCUGACGAACUCCGAAUGCUAUGUACAAAUGAUCGGCAGUGAGGCCUGGGGUGCUAACGUCACAGGCCGAGAGGGAAAGAACCCAGACCAUCAGCUAAGGCCCCAAAGUCUGCGCUAAGUUGAUCAAACGUGGUCCGGUUGCAUUGACAGCUAGGAUGUUGGCUUGGAAGCAGCCAUUCAUUUAAAGAGUGCGUAACAGCUCACUAGUCGAGCGACCGGGCGUGGAUGAUAAUCGGGCAUCAAGUGCAGCGCCGAAGCUAUGGCAACAUAGCAAUAUGUUGGGUAGGGGAGCAUUCUAACCAGCGCCGAAGGUUCUUCGUAAGGAGGGCUGGAGCGGUUAGAAAAGCAAAUGUAGGCAUAAGUAACGAUAAGACGGGUGAGAAACCCGUCCACCGUAAGACUAAGGUUUCCUGAUCAACGCUAAUCGAAUCAGGGUUAGUCGGGGCCUAAGGCUAAUCCGAAAGGAAAUGCCGAUGGAUAACAGGUUAAUAUUCCUGUACCGGCAUAGGUCGUUAUUACCGAUGGGGGGAAGCGGGAGGAAGAGCCAUCGCACUAUUAGAUGUGCGUCCAAGUCAUCAGGUGGCAUGUAGGAAAAUCCGCAUGCGGAAUCCUGGUGGUGACGGGGAGCGCCUUGUGCGCGAAGUGGCUGGACUGACCGUCGAGAAAAACCUCUAGGGAGACUGAAGCCGUCCGUACCAAAACUGACACAGGUGGGUGAGGUGAAUAUCCUAAGGCGCUCGAGAGAACUGUUGUCAAGGAACUCGGCAAAUUGACCCCGUAACUUCGGGAUAAGGGGAACCCUCGGGGGUGUCAAAGCUCCUGGGGGUCGCAGAGAAUUGGCCCAACCGACUGUUUACUAAAAACACAGGUCUGUGCAAAGUCGUAACGACGAUGUAUACGGACUGACGCGUGCCCAAUGCUGGAAGGUUAAGAGGACGGGUUAGCGCAAGCGAAGCUCGGAAUUGAAGCCCCAGUGAAUGGCGGCCGUAACUAUGACGGUCCUAAGGUAGCGAAGUUCCUUGUCGGGUAAGUUCCGACCCGCAUGAAUCGCGUAACGAGUUGGGCUCUGUCUCGACAGCAGACUCGGCGAACCUGUAGCCGUGGUGAAGAUGCCACGUUCCCGCGCCUAGACGGAAAGACCCCGUGAACCUUUACUAUAGCCUGAUAUUGAGGCUUGUCCUGACGUGCGUAGCAUAGGUGGGCUAUCGUGACUGGGAA